Capra hircus (goat) is the source of this 309-nucleotide long non-coding RNA. RefSeq lists it as uncharacterized. NCBI's taxonomy places the organism in Eukaryota, Metazoa, Chordata, Mammalia, Artiodactyla, Bovidae. The record is from RefSeq and is a predicted model, not a curated record. The transcript is spliced from 3 exons.
AGCAGCAGACAAGAAGCACAGUGAGGAGUGUUGUGUGACUCUCGCAUUGGAUCAAGGUGGAUGGGGAUUCGAGCCCCUUCACUGCACGCGCUGUGUUCAGACGCCAAGGUCUUUAUUUGAACAGCACACCUGAGUGUCCCUCUCCCAUCUCUCCUGCCACUGGUGCUGCUGGAGCCCUGCUCCUACCCUCUCAGGACUCAAUCUCUAGAGAAGUGUGCCUCAGUGGUAAGGACUCCGCCUGCUAAUGCAGGAGAUGCAGCAAGUUUGAUCCCUGGGUCAGGAAGAUUCCCUGGAGGAGGAAAUGGCCAC